AUACUUACCUGGCAGGGGAGACACCAUGAUCACAAAGGUGGUUUUCCAGGGCGAGGCUAUCUAUUGCACUCUGGAUGUGCUGACCCCUGCAAUUUCCCCAAAUGUGGGAAACUCGACUCCAUAGUUUGUGGUAGUGGGGGAUUGUGCUCGCACUCUCCACUC
This is a small nuclear RNA of Pipistrellus kuhlii (Kuhl's pipistrelle), 162 nucleotides long. RefSeq annotates it as U1 spliceosomal RNA. The transcript has a single exon. Lineage: Eukaryota; Metazoa; Chordata; Mammalia; Chiroptera; Vespertilionidae. The record is from RefSeq and is a predicted model, not a curated record.